This 868-nucleotide ribosomal RNA is filed under the name uncultured archaeon. RNAcentral's name for it is "bacterial SSU rRNA". It matches the Rfam family "Archaeal small subunit ribosomal RNA", at positions 1 to 875 of the family's 1478-position model. The record is from RNAcentral.
UUCUGGUUGAUCCUGCCAGAGGUUACUGCUAUCGAGGUUCGACUAAGCCAUGCGAGUCGAAUGUAGCAAUACAUGGCGUACUGCUCAGUAACACGUGGACAACCUGCCCUUAGGACGGGUAUAAACCCGGGAAACUGGGUAUAAUUCCCGAUAGGUCUCGUCUGCUGGAAUGCAUCGAGAUCCAAAGCUCCGGCGCCUAAGGAUGGGUCUGCGGCCUAUCAGGUAGUAGUGGGUGUAGCGUACCUACUAGCCUACGACGGGUACGGGUUGUGAGAGCAAGAGCCCGGAGAUGGAUUCUGAGACACUAAUCCAGGCCCUACGGGGUGCAGCAGGCGCGAAAACUUUACAAUGCUGGGAACAGCGAUAAGGGAACCUCGAGUGCCAGGUUACAAAUCUGGCUGUCGUGAUGCCUAAAAAGCAUUAUAUAGCAAGGGCCGGGCAAGACCGGUGCCAGCCGCCGCGGUAACACCGGCGGCUCGAGUGGUAACCGUUAUUAUUGGGUCUAAAGGGUCUGUAGCCGGCCGGAUAAGUCUCUUGGGAAAUCUGGCAGCUUAACUGUCAGGCUUUCAGGGGAUACUGUCUGGCUCGAGGCCGGGAGAGGUGAGAGGUACUUCAGGGGUAGGGGUGAAAUCUUGUAAUCCUUGAAGGACCACCAGUGGCGAAGGCGUCUCACCAGAACGGACCUGACGGCAAGGGACGAAAGCUAGGGGCACGAACCGGAUUAGAUACCCGGGUAGUCCUAGCCGUAAACGAUACUCGCUAGGUGUCGGCCACGGUGCGACCGUUGUCGGUGCCGUAGGGAAGCCGUGAAGCGAGCCACCUGGGAAGUACGGCCGCAAGGCUGAAACUUAAAGGAAUUGGCGGGAAA